Molecule: ribosomal RNA, 601 nt
Filed under: uncultured bacterium
Lineage: Bacteria
Description: bacterial SSU rRNA
Rfam family: Bacterial small subunit ribosomal RNA
Source: RNAcentral
GACGAGUCCUUUACUGACGCUAAAGCUCGAAGGUGCGGGUAUCGAACAGGAUUAGAUACCUGGUAGUCCGCACGGUAAACGAUGGAUGCCCGCUGUUGGCGAUACAAUGUCAGCGGCCAAGCGAAAGCGUUAAGCAUCCCACCUGGGGAGUACGCCGGCAACGGUGAAACUCAAAGGAAUUGACGGGGGCCCGCACAAGCGGAGGAACAUGUGGUUUAAUUCGAUGAUACGCGAGGAACCUUACCCGGGCUUGAACUGCCAGCGAACGAUACAGAGAUGUUGAGGCCCUUCGGGGCGCUGGUGGAGGUGCUGCAUGGUUGUCGUCAGCUCGUGCCGUGAGGUGUCGGCUUAAGUGCCAUAACGAGCGCAACCCCUUUCUUCAGUUGCCAUCAGGCAAAGCUGGGCACUCUGGAGACACUGCCGCCGUAAGGUGCGAGGAAGGUGGGGAUGACGUCAAAUCAGCACGGCCCUUACGUCCGGGGCUACACACGUGUUACAAUGGGUGGUACAGAGAGUCGGCCGUCCGCAAGUGCGGUCCAAUCAGGAAAGCCAUCCUCAGUUCGGAUUGGGGUCUGCAACCCGACCCCAUGAAGCUGGAUUC